AAUCUGCGAACGGCUCAUUAUGAACACCCUUAACCUACCCAGUUAUCGUAUCCCAAACGGAUAUCUGCGUUAAUUUCGGAGCUAAUACGUGCACCUGAGCACCGCCAGCAAUGGUAGUGCGCACUUAUUAGAUCAAGGCCGACUGGGGCAACCCUUUUGGUGACUCUGAAUAAUUUAGCGGAUCGUAUGGUCUUGUACCGACGACGUACUGGUCGGGAGGGUGCCCUAUCAACUAUUGAUGGAAGUCUAUGUGUCUUCCAUGGUUGUAACGGGUAACGGAGAAUCAGGGUUCGACUCCGGAGAGCUAGCCUUAGAAACGGCUAUCACAUCCAAGGAAGGCAGCAGGCGCGUAAAUUACCCACUCUCAAUUCGAGGAGGUAGUGACUAUCAAUAACGAGACAGAUCUCUUUGAGGUCUGUCAUUGAAAUGAGCACAACUUAAAGACUUUAACGAAGUCUAUGGGAGGGCAAGUCUGGUGCCAGCAGCCGCGGUAAUUCCAGCUCCCAACGUGUAUAUCGUCAUUGCUGCGGUUAAAAAGCUCGUAGUUGGAUCUAAGUUUAUGACAGUAGUUCUCCAUGUGAGAUACUGCGUGUCUGAACUGAUUCGCCGGUUUUCCUUGGUUUCGGCCUUGGUGACUGGUGUUGUAACUUUGAUUAAAUCAAUGUGAUUAAAACAGGCGUUUGCUUGAAUGCUUUAUCAUGGAAUAAUAGAAUAUGACUUCGGUCCAUUCUGUUGGUCUUGGGAUUGAAGUAAUGAUUAAGAGGAAUGACUCGGGGGCAUCCGUAUCGCUGCGUGAGAGGUGAAAUUCUUGGACCGCAGCGAGACGACCGAUUGCGAAAGCAUUUGCCAAGAAUGUUUUCAU
This 862-nucleotide ribosomal RNA is filed under the name Pristionchus sp. 1 GVDU-2019. Its description in RNAcentral is "SSU rRNA". It matches the Rfam family "Eukaryotic small subunit ribosomal RNA", at positions 84 to 973 of the family's 1831-position model. The record is from RNAcentral. Lineage: Eukaryota; Metazoa; Nematoda; Chromadorea; Rhabditida; Neodiplogasteridae.